AGGAUGAACGCUGGCGGCGUGCCUAAUACAUGCAAGUCGAGCGGUAAGGCCACUUCGGUGGUACACGAGCGGCGGACGGCUGAGUAACACGUAGGAACGUACCCCAAACUGAGGGAUAAGCACCAGAAAUGGUGUCUAAUACCGCAUGUGCUCUUCGGAGUAAAGCUACGGCGGUUUGGGAACGGCCUGCGCAAGAUUAGCUUGUUGGUGAGGUAAUAGCUCACCAAGGCGACGAUCUUUAGCUGGUCUGAGAGGAUGACCAGCCAGACUGGAACUGAGAACGGUCCAGACUCCUACGGGAGGCAGCAGUAGGGAAUUUUCCACAAUGGACGAAAGUCUGAUGGAGCAACGCCGCGUGCAGGAUGAAGGCCCUCGGGUCGUAAACUGCUUUUAUAUGUGACGAUUAUGACGGUAGCAUAUAGAAUAAGGAGUCGGCUAACUCCGUGCCAGCAGCCGC
This 457-nucleotide ribosomal RNA is filed under the name uncultured bacterium. RNAcentral's name for it is "SSU rRNA". It matches the Rfam family "Bacterial small subunit ribosomal RNA", at positions 26 to 518 of the family's 1533-position model. The record is from RNAcentral.